This 344-nucleotide unclassified non-coding RNA is filed under the name soil metagenome. RNAcentral describes it as "partial contains 5.8S ribosomal RNA, internal transcribed spacer 2, and large subunit ribosomal RNA". The stretch from base 1 to 120 matches the Rfam family "5.8S ribosomal RNA", at positions 35 to 154 of the family's 154-position model. The record is from RNAcentral.
GAUGGAGAACGCAGCGAAAUGCGAUACGUAAUGUGAAUUGCAGAAUUCAGUGAAUCAUCGAGUCUUUGAACGCACAUUGCGCCCCCUGGUAUUCCGGGGGGCAUGCCUGUCCGAGCGUCAUUGCUGCCCUCAAGCACGGCUUGUGUGUUGGGCCUCCGUCCUCCUCCCGGGGGACGGGCCCGAAAGGCAGCGGCGGCACCGCGUCCGGUCCUCGAGCGUAUGGGGCUUCGUCACCCGCUCUUGUAGGCCCGGCCGGCGCUUGCCGACACAUCAAUCUUUUUUCCAGGUUGACCUCGGAUCAGGUAGGGAUACCCGCUGAACUUAAGCAUAUCAAUAAGCGGAGG